This 465-nucleotide ribosomal RNA is filed under the name uncultured bacterium. Its description in RNAcentral is "partial 16S ribosomal RNA". It matches the Rfam family "Bacterial small subunit ribosomal RNA", at positions 28 to 507 of the family's 1533-position model. The record is from RNAcentral.
GACGAACGCUGGCGGCGUGCUUAACACAUGCAAGUCGAACGGAAAGGCCCUGCUUGCAGGGUACUCGAGUGGCGAACGGGUGAGUAACACGUGGGUGAUCUGCCCUGCACUUCGGGAUAAGCCUGGGAAACUGGGUCUAAUACCGGAUAGGAGCCAUUUUUAGUGUGAUGGUUGGAAAGUUUUUUCGGUGUAGGAUGAGCUCGCGGCCUAUCAGCUUGUUGGUGGGGUAAUGGCCUACCAAGGCGGCGACGGGUAGCCGGCCUGAGAGGGUGGACGGCCACAUUGGGACUGAGAUACGGCCCAGACUCCUACGGGAGGCAGCAGUGGGGAAUAUUGCACAAUGGGCGCAAGCCUGAUGCAGCGACGCCGCGUGGAGGAUGACGGCCUUCGGGUUGUAAACUCCUUUCGCUAGGGACGAAGCUUUUUGUGACGGUACCUAGAUAAGAAGCACCGGCUAACUACGUG